RNAcentral lists this long non-coding RNA (572 nucleotides) under Vigna radiata. RNAcentral describes it as "long non-coding RNA (VRAD_LNC010380)". The record is from RNAcentral. Lineage: Eukaryota; Viridiplantae; Streptophyta; Magnoliopsida; Fabales; Fabaceae.
UAGAGUUGUGUUCUGAAAAAAGAGAAAAGAAAAGAGACAAGAUGAAAAAAAAAAGGAAAAAAUAUAUAGAAAAAUGAAAAAAAAAAAUUGUGAAUAAAUGAGUCAAGAAGAGGAUGGAAUUAAAGGUUUUGGGUGUGAGUAUACUGUGUUUUCACUUGUUCCCCAUUGCUCCUCUAUUUCCUUUGGUUUGUAGCUUCUCACCCAUAUUUAUCCUCCCUUUUCCUUGACCCCAUUGCAUCCAUAAAAGACCUUUUGAUUUGAACAUGCAUAUAUGUUUUGAGUGUUGAUAUUAGAGGCUUGCCAAGACUGUUUGUUGCCUGCUUUCUUGAGUGCAUUGAGUUGAAUUGUUUACCCUAGACACUUGAGAGAAACGCUGAUAGUGCAUCUGUGAGGUUCUGUUGCUUUUGAUUCUCCUCUUGAACUGAUUGAUUAUUUUGCCAUGCUUUGAAUUGCUUGGAUGAUUUCUUUGAGUAUCUGCUUUCUCUGAUUCUGUGUGGAUACUGUCUACCUCCUUUCUUUGCCCAGAUUUCUUGAGGACUGUAAUUCUGUCUGCUGAGUCUGUGUCAAUUCCC